AACGAACGCUGGCGGCAUGCCUAACACAUGCAAGUCGAACGAAAACUUCGGGUCUAGUGGCGCACGGGUGCGUAACGCCUGGGAACCUGCCCUUAGAUUCGGAAUCACCCCCCGCAAGACGUGCUAAUACCGGUUCGUAUCUUCGGACCAAGGAUUUAUCGCCUUUGGGUGGGCCCGCGUGGGAUUAGCUAGUUGGUAGGGUAAAAGCCGACCAAGGCGACGAUCCAUAGCUGGUCUGAGAGGAGGGUCAGCCACACUGGGACUGCGACACGGCCCAGAGUCGUACGGUAGGCAGCAGUGGGGAAUAUGAGCCAAUGGGCGAAAGUCUAAGACAGCAAUGCCGCGGGAGUGAUGAAGGCCUUAGGAUUGUAAAGCUCUUUUACCCGGGAUGAUAAUGACAGUACCGGGAGAAUAAGCUCCGGCUAACUCCGUG
This 433-nucleotide ribosomal RNA is filed under the name uncultured bacterium. RNAcentral's name for it is "partial 16S ribosomal RNA". It matches the Rfam family "Bacterial small subunit ribosomal RNA", at positions 29 to 507 of the family's 1533-position model. The record is from RNAcentral.